RNAcentral lists this ribosomal RNA (374 nucleotides) under uncultured organism. RNAcentral's name for it is "partial 16S ribosomal RNA". It matches the Rfam family "Bacterial small subunit ribosomal RNA", at positions 527 to 897 of the family's 1533-position model. The record is from RNAcentral.
GGGGGGUGCAAGCGUUGUUCGGAAUUAUUGGGCGUAAAGCGCGCGCAGGCGGCCAGGUAAGUCGGGUGUGAAAGCCCUCAGCUCAACUGAGGAAUUGCGCUCGAAACUGCUUGGCUUGAGUACAGGAGAGGGUGGCGGAAUUCCCGGUGUAGAGGUGAAAUUCGUAGAUAUCGGGAGGAACACCAGAGGCGAAGGCGGCCACCUGGCCUGUAACUGACGCUGAGGCGCGAAAGCGUGGGGAGCAAACAGGGAUUAGAUACCCUGGUAGUCCACGCCGUAAACGAUGUGCACUAGGUGUUGCGGGAGUUGACCCCUGCAGUGCCGCAGCUAACGCAUUAAGUGCACCGCCCUGGGAAGUACGGCCGCAAGGCUAA